Molecule: long non-coding RNA, 899 nt
Organism: Triticum dicoccoides
Lineage: Eukaryota; Viridiplantae; Streptophyta; Magnoliopsida; Poales; Poaceae
Exons: 4
Source: RefSeq, a predicted model, not a curated record
CUACUCGGGUCCUUCCUAUGCACAUCUUGUGGUGGCUCCUCCUUCUGCUUCUUCAUGUGCAGAUCUAUUGGUGGCUCCUCCUCCCCUCCAUAGAUCUUUAUAUUUUGCCAUUGCUAAAGAUUGUGAUGAUAAGGUUCACAGGAGAUGCAAGUACGUCUUAUGUCUAGAAAGGAUAAAUUGGUGUCCGAUUUGACCACAAGCAUAUGAUCUUUGCUCCACAAGGUUGUACUUUGAUAAGGCGUGAUGCUCUUUUUUGUUUUUGGCGGGCUGUGAGCUGGAUGUGCUAUUAGUCAUGGUGCCGAGCUUGGAUUGAGGAGACGGAUAGAAGAAGGUCAAUGCGCUUGAGGAGGCGGCAGUAGCACACCUGUGGUCCAAAUCUAGGUGAAUUAUUGUGGCUGAUCUAGAGGCCUGAUCUAGAGAACGGCAGGCCACAACGUUCGUGCAGCGGUGGCUGGACACACCAUCUGGAGGCGAGCAACGGCUGCGCUGGCAGCCGCUUGGAAGGGAAGCGAAGGCCAUGGAGGAGGAGGCUAUGCAUGGCGGAGGAGCAGGUCGUGCGCUGCCGUAGGGACAGGAGAGCUGGCGCCGGCUCCAAGUACGCCAUCGUCCAAGUUGCGCUUGGGCUUCCCUCCAGCAGGUCCACACUGUAUCUUAGGUCGUGAUCGGGCUGACAGCGGUUUGGCCACUACACUCGACCAUGUGCUCUGCAGACCUCGAUGCCCAUAUUUUCCUAGACACCAUGGCACGAGUACCGACCUCACAGGUUGAACUGAUGGAUGUUGGUAUUUUGAUCUUGCUAUGUCAAAUAGUACGAUGUAAUCUAUGGAGCUGAAGCUAUAGCUAGAUCGGUGCAUUCCAAUUAAUGAAUUGGUGCCUUCUGUUUCAGUUUCAAACUUGGA